UUUGUUUCGCGGCUCGGCAUUCGGGCGUGUUCUUCAAAAAGAUUUGGAAAAAGCUGUUGUUGGUCGCUUCGAUGCGCUUUCGAAGGAGCAAGU
Molecule: non-coding RNA, 93 nt
Organism: Fonsecaea monophora
Lineage: Eukaryota; Fungi; Ascomycota; Eurotiomycetes; Chaetothyriales; Herpotrichiellaceae
Source: the annotation of a RefSeq genome assembly